Molecule: long non-coding RNA, 1875 nt
Filed under: Oryzias javanicus (javanese ricefish)
Lineage: Eukaryota; Metazoa; Chordata; Actinopteri; Beloniformes; Adrianichthyidae
Description: lncRNA (ENSOJAG00000023998.1)
Source: RNAcentral
CUGAUUGCUGGGACUUUGUUUUGAAAUUGCUGAAGAGCUCUACAGUCAGUGCAAGUCACUACAUGAAAAGCAAUCUGUUUGUUUGGUAAAAAGAUGCAGACAGAAUUCCUGAGUGUCUAACAGUGAGGGGUUCUCUUUUUCUUAAUGCAUGACACUUUCAUGUGACCAAUGUACUUCUGAAUUACUAAAAUGCACCACUAACACCUUAGUAUAAACACAAUGAUUUUUGUUUUUUAAUUAAAUGUCUAGAUUUACUUGUUUCCUUUAAAUUUGGAGUACAAAAGUGGUUUUGAUGUAUUUUCAAAAUAAUACAAGAACAAGCCAAUUAGGAGAUACUUCCGUUAUAAUUAAUUUAUUUACAUUUAUUUUGAUACAGAGGGUGAACUGGAUGACAUAGAGGAGGAAGAGGAAAUGCUAACCGAGUUAGAAGUGGAACAGGCUGCAUCCGUCAUCCCCAUACCUGCUCCUAUAGAGGCCCCAGUCAAGAGGAAACGUGGACGACCUCCAAAGAAUAAGCCUGAAGUGGCUACCAUUAUUCCUGUGGAAGACGAGGUUCAAGAGAUGGACGACAUUGUGAAGACGGAGGUCGGCGCUGAUCAGAGCAACUCUAUCGACGAUACCACAGAGCAAGUGAUCGUCGGCGGAGGGAAAGCAGCCGGCCAGGUCGAGGAGCUGUCCCAGGCGGAUGCAGCUGUGCAGGAGGUACAGCUGUCUGCAGCAUCCGCCAAUGGAGACCUGACCCCUGAAAUGAUCCUCAGUAUGAUGGACCGAUGAUGGGCAUGACACCCAAAUUCUUGAGUAAAUCCUCUAUUGUAAGUCUUUGUAUUUAGGAUAACAAAUACACAGAAGCAAACAUUACUGUUGUAAUUUAAGAUUGACCUUUUGUGUAUUGAUAAAGACCUGGAUAAGUGGGGAACUUUUUUUUUUCUCUAGUAAGAAAAUUAAUUUCAGUACACUUUAGUUUGGAGUGGCUGUGAUUUUUAGUCUGUGUCCUUUUUGCCCUUCCUCUUUGAUGUUUACAAGCUAAGAAAUUCAUUGAAGAAGGCCGUCUUUGUCUACUUGUGUUAAAAUAACUGGCCUUGGUUAUAUUCCUUUUGACUUUUUUUCGGUUUCUAGCCCUUUUUUUAUUUUCUUUUUUUUCUUUUUUAAUUUUUUCUCCUUUCCUUGUAACAUGUUUUGUACCAGAAUCGAUGGGCUAAUCCUACAUGAUUUGUGUGGAAAAAAAUGAGAUGAGCUUUAUGUACUGCUGGGUGGACAGGACAAUGCUUGGGUAUUGUUUUUAAAAAAAAAAAAAACUGGCUUUGAGGGAUACCAAUUAUUAGUUAGCCCGAGGGGAAUCCUGGAGUCACUGGUCACAGUUACUUCAAAAUAUGAAAUGUGAAACAUCAUGAGUUUGCUUUUUUUCCCUUGCGUUAGUAAUUUUCUAUUUUUUAAAAGCAUAUUGUAGUUUUUUAAAGCUUAAUAGAUUGCGUAUCUCAUGCUCCUUUACUUUGUAAAUUCUCUAGAAAACUUGUAUGUACUUCACACUGUCACAGAAGAGUACAAGGAAGAUGGUUCUGUUUUUGCUCUCAAGUGUAGUCAUUCCACUUUGGGUUUUUUGGUAUCUAUCUUGGCAAAGUCAUGUAGCAGCUUGAGUGACAAAUUGUGACAUGAUAACACAAUAAUGACUGUACAAGAAGUUAAAGAGGAAGAGACGAUGGUUUCAGGUGAUUUCUAGAAAAUCAAGAAUUUUUAAAAUGACGCGUCUAACUGGUACAGCAAAACUGUUUGCUUGACUCGUUUUUUUUUUUUGUUUUUUUUUAAUUGGCUGAGAAAAACCUGAAUCUUCAUGUUCUUGUAUUUUGCUUGCAAAUAUAUUUUAUUAAAUGACAACUG